Lemur catta (Ring-tailed lemur) is the source of this 3127-nucleotide long non-coding RNA. RefSeq lists it as uncharacterized. The record is from RefSeq and is a predicted model, not a curated record. NCBI's taxonomy places the organism in Eukaryota, Metazoa, Chordata, Mammalia, Primates, Lemuridae. The transcript has 2 exons.
GUUUCCUUAUCUCCAGCACAGCCACCAACACCUGCCAUGCCCUUGCUGGGAUGGUGGUUAACUACGUAUCUCUGCAUCAUAGAAACUGGUGGCAGGUGACUUGCUGGGGUUGCUCAGCCGUUUCCCGAAAGGCCCCCCUUGGCCGGUCUCCUUGGUUCUCCGCAGCCGAGUCCUCCCUGACCGCCCAGCUUCUGGUCCACUAAGGGUGGUUGCCCUGAGGCUGGUGACCACCUGCUUGCCGUCCCUUGGGACAAGUGGGGACUCAGGCCGCAGUGUACAUGCUGUGUCUGAGAAAGGCCAAGGGAAAGCAGCCCGCGUGGAUUGUUUGGGCUGCCGCAGAGCCUCCAGCCACGGGGGCCUUUCCCACACAGGAGGGAGCUUCAUCUGUCUGGAAUGUUUUAGGGCAGCAGGGCCUAUCCCAUCCUCCCUGGGCAGAUGAAGCUCAUCUUCCCUAAGGCCUGGGCCCCACUCUGGGCUCCAUGAGCUCUGCAGAGCGUAGAGCACUGCUCAUGGCCUUGACCGCCUUGAAUCAGUUUCUUUCUCCAGGUAUGUGUUUUCUUUCUUUGACUCCCCUGAAGGCGAGGACCACGUCCCAUGUGGCAUCCACAUGACACCACGGUGCUGGGUGCUUCUCUCUCCUGAGGCCUUGCGGUACUUGGGUGGCCGCCUCUCAGGGGAAAGCAGAGCUUGAGAGGAUGGGUCACAGGACGGGAGGUGCUGACAAAACCACUAAGGGCCUGGAGUUUGGGGUGCCACCUAAGGAAGGUGGUCUCCACCGGGGGGACAGGGCAGUGACCUCAGUGCCAGGGCCAGCCAGAGAACUACGAUGGCCUGGACUAUGCUGGGGCAUAAAGGAGAGGAAGACAAUCGACUUACUUCCAAGCUUGGUAGAGUGCCAUCCCUGGAGCCCUCCAGAUGUCCCCUGUCUCUGUGUCAGGGUGCGGUCCCGCCAGGACUGCGAACUUGCACCGGGAUCUGCUGCGUGCAGCUUUGGAGCAGGGUGAGAGGAGGGGGCAGGGCUCCGGAGGGUGCUCCUCCCUGCAGCCCCUCUGCCCUCUCCUCUCCCUCUCGGAUGUGUACACCCACACUGGCUCACCUGGCUUUCCGGGAAGGCAAGGAAUGCUGAGCUUCUCUUCCUGAGUCUCCCAGAACGGGGGAGCUCUGGGCUAGGAGGGGGACCAGAGCUCCUGUACCUCAUUGGCAUCACAUUUUCCUGUUUGUUUCUUCACCUUUUCUACCUACUGCGUCCAGCCCUGGCUUUCCACCUUGCUCAGCCAGCGUCUCCGUGGGUCUGUCCGCCAUGUGAGGCAAAGAUCAGAACCCAUCUCCCUCCUGCCGAAUGCACAGAUGGCAGCUUCCAUCCUCGCCUGGGUAAACGCUCCAAUAUUUCUCUAGGAACACACCAGCCUUUCCAACCUGGGGAUUCCAGCUUCGGCAAGCCGAGCCAACACCUGCGGCCUGCCUGGGCCGGCCAGGGUAGAAACAGAGAGAGGAAAGGUGUGCAGCAGUCCGGAAGGCAAAGGCUUUUGACAAGAAAGCAGGGCACAUACCACAGCGCAAGAACGGCCGGCUGCAGGGGAGCCUGCUGCGGCGCAGGGAUGGGGCAGAGAGGGCGGACGUGUAACACCCUGAACUGAGAAUGGAGGGCGAGGAUGAGCACAUGGAUGUACUUUAUGCAACCAGCCGACGUAUCUGGAGUGUUCAGAUUGCUAUAUAUGAGUUAGAUGGUUCCACCUAUUUAAAAACUGUGAGAUCACAACCCAGAUCUGAGACAUUGUCCUUUAGGAGUCACAAGAAGAAUAUGGGGAGCUGUGAGAUGACAACGGAGCAUAAUAAAAGGUCCUGGGGAGGGCUCGUGGUGUAAAGGAAGGUGGGGAAGGUACAUGUUGUCUGUGGAAGAUUCAGUGUCAUCUCGUGGAAUCAGUUGAUCACUUCCCAGUGAAAGUCAGUAGAGAAACAGAAAAAAAUCACAUAAUCAACUUUAUUGGGACACAUCUAGUGUAGAAAAAUGUCAAAGUGUGUGUGUCAUGACAACCACAAAAUCUUGGUUGGUUACUGUUACCACAGUAACAAGGUAAUUUUGCAUUUCUACUACAUGUCCUUUGUGAGUUGGCUGUAGACUGCUCCGUUGUUUUCAUUCCUGGGCUGAGAGAGUGACAUUGGGACCCCUGGAUCUGGGACACUCACGGUUUCAUAGCAGAGGGAAAAGAGAGCAACAUGCUGAAUCACUCACUAAUUCUUACAACUUCCAUCUGGAAGUGACACCUGUCACUUCUGCUCACGUUUCAUUGGCUAAAGGAAGUCAUAUGGCCAAACCUACACUCCCCUGGGGCAGGGAAAUGUAAUCCUCCUCCAACGAACAAUAAUACAGUCUACCACCCAAGGAUCGAUGCAGUCAGUUCUGCCUGAGGCCAUGAGAGCCUAAAUUCUUGGGAGAAACAGAGACCUCAAAAUCCAGUUGGUGGACAAUUGUUUUGGGAUGGAGUCACAAACAAGUAUAAGAAUAGAAUAUAAGCUUCAUGAGGAAAGAGUCUUGGUUAAUUUUAUUCACUGGUGUAUCCCAAGGGCCUAGAACAGACCCUUCAAUAUAUAUUUGUAGCUGAAUGAAUUAUAAAUGGGUUUAGGAGGCAAUUUGAUCCUUCCUGCCUCAGCCAAGGAGUAUCUGUGUUCCAUCCCCUGAUGCCUUUGGGUGUGGAGGUAGACGCACAUUGAGAGAACCUGUAGCUCCCUGAUGAAACCAGGGACCUCAGCUUCUGCUUUGGGGUGCAGUUUUUGGCCCCUGCUUUGGUCUACCCCUGAGGUCAGCAAACCUUUUCUGUAAAAGGGAGAUAUUAAAUAUUUUAGGCUUUGCAGGCCAUAUGGUCACAACUUCUCAAGGCUGUUGUAGAACGAAAGCGGCCAUACAUAACAUGUGAACGAAUGAAUGUGGCUACUAAUGUUCCAAUAAAACUUCAUUUAUAGAAGCAGGCAGUGUCCGGAACUGCCGGUUCACCCUGGUGAGCCCACCUCAGCCCCGUCACAAGGCUGGCGCUCAAGCUCUCGCUUUCCCCAUGUCCUGUUCAGGACCAUUUUACUGUCAUAGUUUUCUCAACCUCAUCUUCAUAAAAUUAAAUGCCACAAUAUAGUA